GGAAUCUUGCGCAAUGGGGGCAACCCUGACGCAGCCACGCCGCGUGCUAGAAGACGGCCCUAUGGGUUGUAAACAGCUUUUACUAGGGAAGAACCUAGACCUUUCGAGGACCACUGACGGUACCUAGUGAAUCAGCCCCGGCUACCCCCGUGCCAGCAGCCGCGGUAAUACGGAGGGUGCAAGCGUUGUCCGGAAUCAUUGGGUGUAAAGGGUGUGCAGGCGGAAGUCUAAGUCGGAGGUGAAAUCUUGCCGCUUAACGGUAAAAGGGCCUUCGAAACUGGAUUUCUUGAGUUCGGAAGAGGUUGGUGGAAUUCGUGGUGUAGCGGUGAAAUGCAUAGAUAUCACGAAGAACACCGGUGGCGAAGGCGGCCAACUGGUCCGAUACUGACGCUGAGACACGAGAGCGUGGGGAGCG
Molecule: ribosomal RNA, 415 nt
Filed under: uncultured bacterium
Lineage: Bacteria
Description: bacterial SSU rRNA
Rfam family: Bacterial small subunit ribosomal RNA
Source: RNAcentral